AUUGUAAUCCUGCGCCCAAGUAGACGUUUGUGUAUAUCCUCGUCGCUUGGCCGAGGCCGGCCGAUGCUUGAUCGGCAACGGUCGGGGACAACGUGAUGAGCGCCCGAUUCACUUGGGGAUCAGGAUAACGAUGUCACCUACCUUUGUUUAGUCCACGCCUCUGCCCGUUUCACCGUUUGGGAUCGCCAUUGACCGCGAACUGAUCGAUGAGCGCCCGAGGAUACUAGCUGGCUGCUACGGUAUGUGCUCGCUAGCAGCUAGCUUAUCGUGUCACGUGGGUCCUCGGUGAAUCGAGGGUUCUUUUUCCGUCGGAUGCGGCGCUGCGGCUGGUGCGGUUUGCCCGUCGCGGUCAACUGGUUGAGGCGUCGGCCUCGUCUGCGAUCAGGGGGAGGGUUUAUGGCGACAGCGGCGUCCCGUGCCUUGCUUCACGUGACGCCUCUAAUUCUGGACAGGCACCUUGGCAGAGGCGCAGCUACUUGGAGCAGACCUCGGAAGGGUCAAGGGUGCACCGCAGAUAGGCUACCAAGGCAUAGGGUUAGAUGUUAACCUUGCCACGCUACAACUCUAGUCUUUUAGGGCGUGUGUUUGAUUCAGUGUCAUGACACUUGAUAAUUAGGGAUCAACAACACAAUAGCAUGAAACUAGGGAUACCCAUGCCACUAGGAUGCAAUAAUAAGAUGUAAAAUAACAUUGUGACAAUCCCAUUUUCCUAUUGAAAUUGAGGGGGGAAAGAAAUCUAGAAUGCUGCCAUUAAGAUGGGGAUAUUAUAUACUCCUAUGUGUGUCAAACAUACAACAACCGUUCCAAUAAUCCAUGGAUGUCAAAAUUUCAAGACACAAGGUGGAGACAUGUCGUUAUGAAAUGAUUAGCUAGCUAUUCCAAUUAUUUUAAAAUUUCUCCCUAAAUUAACCUAGGAUUUCAUAAGUACGAAAUGAUUACACCAACAACCACAAACAUUUUCUUUUCUAAAAAAUAAAAAGAAUUCCGAAAGAGCCCCCCUUAGUUGUGUGGUCGCCUUCGUGCUGCCUCCUUUCCCUCUCGCCUCCACCACCUCCGGCUGGCUACUUUUGCCGCCUCCACCGCCCUUUCAGGCCUUCGCCCAACCGACUGCGCGUUCCCUCCCAAACGCGCACCCCCUCCUCUCCUCCCGUGACCACCGCCUCAGCCUCGCGUCCUCGGGUUCCCUCCAAUCCGUGCCACCGGGCUUCUCGUCACGGCUCGUGCUGCGGUUCAGUGUGCAAGUAAUGGAGCGGCGGCGGUCACCGAGGCUGCUGCUCCAAGUGUUCUUCUUGCUCGCCGCUUCUUCUCCGCUCGGGAGUGCAGGUUUCUUUUUGGAUUUUCGAUUUGUCAGAGUAGCUGGUGGGUGUGCAUUUGGGUUUAUGGUGUUCGCCUUGUUGGUUUGCUGCAGGGAUUGGAGGCCUCGGAGUUGGCCCGGAGAGCAAUGGAGCUUCCGUUAGUCCUAGGUGAGCGUGCUCAGAUUCUUGGAAUUAGAUCUUCACUUUAUGGCUUGCUAGAAAUGGGUGCCAUCAUUUUUCUGACAUCCAGAUUCCAGAAUAUGUAGCUUUAGGGGGAUUGGAGUUGAAGAUUAGAGGCAUGGAUGCUUUUAGCAUUAGCCUGUUUUCAUACAUGGCUGGUAAAUGGCAAAAAGUUGUGAAUUUGUUUUUUUUUUUUUUGCCCUUUAAGAUGGCCAUCAUCAUGUGCGCUUGUACAGGGCACUGGACUAAUUGGUGUUAACCAUGCGUUAGUAUGUACGAGCAGUUUUUAUUGUGGUGUGUGUAGUGGUGACUUUAAUUUCUUGUAAGAAUUGGAGUUGUUGAAUCUUUUUCUCUUUGUUUGAAAAACAGAAUUUGCUCGUGGCUUUCUUUGUACUGAACUAGUGGCAAAUUUUUCUAGUAUGCAUGCAUCAGUAAGCAUUAUUUUGAGGCACAUUUAUUCAUUUUAGAAAGCUCUGGAGUUAAGUCACAGAGUGAUGGAUAGCUAGGUCAAAAAACAAGAAUCGGGUCUAUUAUUUUCAAUUUAAAACAGAAUCAAUGAUCAGGGUAAAUUUGACUAUUCUUUCUCUAGGAAUUCCAGAAGGCUGUUGCAGAUUGGAGAUGGAAACGAAGAUAGCCUAUUUCAUCUCCCACAUGCAAGGACUUUCUCACACAAGAGCAGAUCUCGUAAAAGAGCUCCAACGCCAGCAGCAGCACCAACGUCUGCUCCAUCACCGUCACCAUUCAUAUCCCCACCAGAAAGCUCACCUUCUACAUCACCACAUGCUUCAGGAUCCAUGCCACGCCAAUCUCCUUCACACCAUCAUCCAACUGCAGCCCCUCCACAUUUGGACAGGUCUAGGCCUACAACUAAGCCGGACGAACACGAUCGUUCAGUUGAAACUCCAGUUCAUUCUUCGCAUAAACAUUCCUGGACAACCUAUGGUUUGGUUGCAGCAGGGAUUGCUGUUUUCAUUCUGGUAUCAGCAGCCAGUGUUCUCUGCUUCCGAGCUAAGAAAAUGGGAACUGUGAGGCCAUGGGCGACAGGUCUCAGUGGUCAAUUGCAGAAAGCCUUUGUAACUGGUAUGUUUGUUCCCCUACCUAUGUACAUACCAUAUCUGGGGAACUAUUAUAAUUUUACAUCAUAAUAAUGUAAUCAUAUUUCUAGGUGUACCUUCAUUGCAACGGUCAGAGCUGGAAACAGCAUGUGAGGAUUUCAGCAAUAUAAUUGGUUCUACCUCUAGCUGCAUGCUGUACAAGGGGACCUUGUCCAGUGGAGUUGAAAUUGCAGUGGCCUCAAGCUUGGUAACAUCUGCUAAGGAUUGGUCGAAAGAAAAUGAAUCACAGUACAGGAAGAAGGUAGCAUUUUACAGUUUAUCGAGUCUGUAUAAGUGUCACUUUGCUUCACUUUUUAUUUGAUUCAAAUGAUAAAUGUUUCAGAUCACAAGUUUGUCCAAAGUAAGCCACAAGAAUUUUAUGAAUUUGCUUGGCUACUGCGAGGAAGAGCAUCCAUUUACCAGAGUGAUGGUAUUUGAAUAUGCUCCAAAUGGGACACUUUUUGAGCAUCUCCACAGUAAGUGCAUUGUUAAUUUUUGUCAUGAAUCUAUCAAUUCCUUCUGUCAAAAAUCUGUUCUCUUCAGUCUGCAUGAUUGAGAAAAAUAUUAUAAUGUGUCAACGUUUGACAUUGUCAUCGUGAUUGCAUUGCAGUCAGGGAAGCAGAGAAGCUUGACUGGAUGGCACGGCUCAGGAUAUCCAUGGGCAUUGCUUACUGUCUUGAGCACAUGCAUCAGCUGAAAACACCAGUUGUGCCUAGGAAUUUCGACUCUACUACGAUAUACCUUACGGAUGACUUUGCUGCAAAAGUCUCAGAUCUUGAAUUUUGGAAUGAUGCAAAGGGACAUAAUUCAACCAACGACAACCUCACAUCAUCAUCGGACCUGGAGAGUGUUGUGCGCUGGUAUGGCAUAGUGCUGCUGGAAAUAUUGACCGGACGAGCUCCCCAUUCUGAGGUGGAUGGGCCACUUGAACACUGGGCUUCACGCUACUUCGACGGCCAGAUGCGUCUUGAGGAGCUGAUUGACCCCAGCAUGGGUUCCUUCCCCGAAGACGCUGCGCGUGCGCUUUGCGAGGUUGUAAGGUCCUGCAUUGAUCCAGAUCCAAAGAAGAGACCACGGAUGGCAGAGGUUGCAGCUCGGAUGAGAGAGAUCACUGCGUUGGGGCCUGACGGAGCGACUCCGAAGGUGUCGCCGCUGUGGUGGGCGGAGCUUGAGAUCAUGUCUUCUGAGACCUGAAGUUGGCGGCCAGCCAGAUGAUAUUCUUUAAUCUGUUGGUUGCUGCUAAUCUUGUUUCGUGGACUUGAUUAGGUAGAGGGUGGUUGAGAAUUUGUUCUGUGUGCAAAAUUGCAUAGGGAGUGGUAUUGUACAUGUAAAGAAGAUUAACAAUGUAACAGGCAUUACAGCCAACUUGAGAAAUAGAAAAGGGCGCGUGGUUUGUUUUUAGAUUUUCAGGCAAUUCAUACCAGAGUUGACCUGUUCUACUGACAGUCUUCUGAGACUGAAGAUGCCAAUUCCCUGUAAUUCCUAUUCCAACAUUCAGGACUGAAAAUUGCUAACGCUAAAUUUAAAGCCCAAAUCGAAACAAACAGUAACGUUUUGUCGUUGGUAUUGUGGGACGCCUCUCACAAAGAGAAGGGAUCCCUCCAAAAAUUGGCGUAUGCUGCUUGUUGUGGCGAGCACACGGUAUUCUUUAGUAAAAGGCGAAAGAAUAGUUCGCUUUGUGCUCACCACGCAGCUCCAUGCAUUGGAAUGGCCGGCUCGGUCGCUAUUUUAAGAGCGUCCGGCGGAGAUGAUUGCCAGAGCUCAGCGGUAUGGGACUAAACAGACAGCAUCGCAUGUCGUUGCCCGGUCUAGUGGGCCGGAUUAUAAACGAACAGGCCUCAUCUCUAUCAUGGGCCUGAUUAACCGCUUGUCUCGUGGGCCUAGUAAUGAUUGAUGAACGCUUUAAUCCAGCAUUUAUGCAACGAAUCAGCUCGAUCACAGAUAAGGCGAUACGCGCUGUCCAUCUUAUCUUAUCUUAUUGGCGUGAACAUUAAAAAACAAAAAGAAAUUCUAAAAAUUCUCUAAAAAAAGCAAAACAUCUUGCCAUCAAUUCGAUAGACUCAACCAUCAUAGCCAUUGAAUCUAUUAUAUUUUCUAAAAAAUUACCCACUUAUGCUAUUAUGAAAAUAGUCUAAAGUAACCCUAAAUCUAUAUCUAAAUUACCCACCUCUACCAUUAUAUAAAAUAAAUUAAAAUAAUCCCCUAAUCUUCAUUUAAAUUACACACCUAUGCCAUUAUAAAAAAUAAUUUAAAAUAACACCUUAAAUUUGCAUCUAAAUUGCCCACCACUAAUAUUAUAAAAAAUAAUUGUAUCUAAAUCACUCACAUAUGCCAUUAUUAAAAAUUUGAAUUAAAAUCACCUUCAUUAAAAAUAUACCUAGAGGUACAUCAAUAUAUGAUUUCAAAUUUCCUAUUCUUAUACUAUUAAUAUAGAAAAUAAUAAUUAAGACAUAUACACAUGAUACGCGUCACCAUUUAUAAAUAUAUUGAGAAAGUGAUGGGAAUAUAUAUUUUCAUGUUAAAAUAAAAUUUGGAUUCCAUUAAACAAAUUCAAGCGUAUACCUGCAAUGCAAAGUGAAAAGAAAGAAAAAUAUUCUAAACGUGGAUGAAAAUAUCGUAGAGUAAUUACUAACUAAAGUAUAUGAUAAUUGGUUGAAGAUAAUAAUUAUAUAUCUAUAUAAGUAUUGUGUUAGCAUAUUUAACAAAUGAGAGAGAUCCCAAGGUAAAUAUUUUGAUAUUAAGCUAUCUGCUCUUAUUUUUUUAAAAAAAAUUGUAGACCACAUAUUAAUUUUCACAAGACACGUUAGAAAAUUCUCACAAAAUUGAAAAACAUAUCAGGAUCAGUCAUGUAGACUCUAAUAACCAUAGCCAUUGGUCUAUUAUAUUUUCUAAAAAUUACCCACCACUAUUAUUAUGAAAAUAUUAUAAUGGUAUAUGCAGGUAAUUUUUUAGAAAAUAUAAUAAAAUCUAAACCAACAUCUAAAUUACCCACCGACGCAUUAUAAAAAAUAAUUUAGAGUAACCCAUAAUCUAUAUAUCUAAAUUAUCCAUACAUAUCAUUAUAAAAAUAACUUAAAAUAUCUUUCUAAAUUUGUAUCUAAAUUACCCAUGUAUGUUAUUAUUAAAAAUAAUAUAAAGUAACUAUCAAAAUUUUAAUCUAAUUAUAUGCAUGUUCAUUGUACCAAAAAUAAACAAAGAUAUGAUUUUAAAAUAACUAUUUCUAUUGUUGUUAAUAUAGAACUACAAAGUUCAGGUAUAUAUGCAUGAUGUGUAUCGCCAUGUAGACCAUUUAUACAUGUGUGGAAGGAAACCAUGAAAAAUAUUGAUUUCAAGUUAAACACAAUGUACGGAGGUGCGUUGUAAUUGUAAGGUAAAAAAGUAUGAAUUAAAAUCAAUCAAAACUUGAGUAUUGCAAAAAUAUUAAAUAACUAAAAGAAUAGCAGAUAAAUAAGUUUAAUUAUCAGAACAAAUAUAAUUUUUUAAAAUUAUUAGCCUGUGUGGAAGGACGGAUCGAUGAACUUAGUAUUUCGAACGGAAGAACAUUCGGUGUAGUUGUGAGCACGACCAUACCGAGCCUUACCCAAAGGGAAGCAACCAAGAAACGCAAUGGAUAUUUCAUGGGCUCCUUAGCUGGAGGCACGACGGAACCACAGCUCAGAGAACACCCGCUACAGAAAUAAAAGUAGAGAGAAUCUUCGCCUUCGCUGCAUUACUUUAAAAACUCGAAUUCUUUGUGAUCAGUCGUGCCUCCAAAUGCACAUCACAAGGCAUAAACAAAAGGGGGGAAGAAAACGAGAGCGAUCAUGCCGCCUGUCUGAACUCCGAAGGACAGCUUGGGCUCGCUGGUCUCUGUCUCUCUUCAGCCUUUUUUCUUCCUCCCUUCUGGAGCUGCCGGUCGUCUUCAACCUUGGAUGCACACACGAGACGCAUGUCUCUUGCCCCACCUGCACACUCUACCUUAAAGCAACACGUGCUCGACAACCUCCUGCGGUGCCUCCUGACUACUAACAGCACUAAGCCUUCUUGUAUAUAAUCUUUACACAUGCCGACAUGCGCGUAUGUUCAGGCGCCCAUGCCUCGCCGAUCUUCUGUGCUUCUCGUCUGCUUCCACCCCGGGAGAGUAGAGAAAGGGAUCGUCUCAUCAUUCUGCCUCGAAAAAAUCGCAGCUGAGUCGACGACGACGAGGAGGGCGGCGGCCGGCCGGCCGGCCGGCCUGCGAGCUGGCUGGCUAGCUCUCCGGUUCGGGCCUGGCGGAGGCUUUGCUGUAGAGCUCCAGGGUGUCGCCGUGGGUCGGGUCCAGGCAGAGCGCCGCCUCGCAGUCCCGCAGGGUGCUCGCGCUGUCGCCCAUCGAGUCGAAGAACGCCGCGCGGAGGUGGAGCAGCUGCAGGUCCGGCUUGAAAGCUAUGGCUCCCGACAGCUCCGCGAUCGCCUCCUCCUCCUUGUUCUCGUCCAUCAGAACUGUGAGAACGAAAAAAAAGAAGGCAAAAUUACUGCGCUCAUCAAAUCGAACAUUCUUAACCCACAUGAUUUGAUGAAACACAGACACAAAAAAAUCACAAAAGUGUAGCUUGCAUUACUUAAGGCAUGAACAGUACAAGAAUCCCAUGCCGAUUUGGAUUUUGGACUCACCGGCUGAUCUGUAUCUGUAAGGAUAGGUCCUCGUAGGGUCCAGCAGCGUCGCCGUGUUCAGGUCGCACAUGGCGGCGUCGCGCUCGCCGUACUCCGACCGUUUCUCGUACGCCGACGCGCUGCUGGUGGCUAUCCGCACGAGCUUGGUCAUCUCGUCGAACGCGGCCUGCUUCCUGUUCUUCAGGUAAUGGACGCGCGCCAGGCCCUGAUGCGCCCGCGUGUGCUUGAUGUUCAGCGCGAUGCCGUAGCACUCGGCGGCCUCGUCCAGCAUGUCGCAGUCCACGUAGAUGCUUCCCAUGUUGUUGUACGCCUGAUGAAGAACGUGAGCUGUGAGCAGAGACGGUUAGCGAGCAGAGACCAUGGAAAUGGUCAGGAGAAAUUCUUACUUGGCCCUUCCGGAGGUUGUCGGAAGCACAGCUGUUGGCGUGCUCCAGGAGCUGCACGACGGAGAGUGAGGAUUCCGUGUCCAUGCUGGAAUCUCCUAGAGCGUAGGCCUUCAGGAAGAAGGCCUCGAAUGAUCUCUGAAGGCUAAUUGACUGCUCGGCCUUGGCUAGUGCUUCAUCCCGAUGUCCACUGUCGUAUAGGAUCCAUCCUUCGUAUACAAGUCUCUCGUGCUCGUGGAGUGAACUGUUCCGUGCAUAUCGCAAACUACGCAUGGCCGCCUUCUGACAGUUUAGCCUACAAUGUACAAGAUCACAACGAAAAAGUUAAGCCUAUGGAUCCGGAAAACAACAGAUAAAUCUCUCCCUUGUUUCUAUAAAGCAAGCUGAUGAACAAUGUAGCAGACAAUUAUAAAUGCAAAGUUCUUUCCAGAAUUGUAAAUGUUAGCCCUCGUCGAUUUUUGGAUUUACUAAACAUUUCACAUGAACCAGAAGUUUGGGGGGGAAAAUGUGGUCUCAGCAGUCAGCACAUGAAAGAAGAGAGAGCAAUAGAUGCAGAUAUGUACCUUAGCAGGAGUAGUGACUGUCGAAACCGCAAGCUGCCGUUCCCGGGUUCCCUGGCGAGCAUCUGCUGCACAACUGCUAGGGAGCCGAUGUCAUCCACCGCCGACCACCGAUCAUACAGCUGCAUCCAGCAAUCCGCCAUAUCCCACUGCUGCACCUGCCCCCGGAGCAGCUCGAUCAGCUGCUCCCCGUGCAUCCUCCCAUGGAACAUCAUGUAGGUCGGAUCCAACGUCAGUAUCGCCCUCACAUCCUGCACGGCCAGCUCGUACUCCUCCAUCGCAAGGUAGAACCACGCCCGGAGCUCGAGGCAAUCCGUCGCCAUCUUGAACCCGAUCACCUUGCUGAUCUCGGCGAUCGCCGACGCCGCAUUGUCCUCCUCCAGCAACGCGCAAGCUCGGUACUUGUACGGGAAUGUCAUCGUCGGGUCGAGCUCCGUCGCCGACUGGAGAUCGGCCAGCUUCUCCUUGCCGACACAGUAGAGCGAGCGCUCCUGGUACAUCCACCCGGCGGGCUCGUCGUAGUCGCCGACGACGCUGUUCAUGAGCUUGUACGCGGCGUAUUUGUGCCCGCGCUUGUACUUGGCGCGCGCCUCACCGGCGAGCGAGUAAACGUGGCCCUCGGCGACGGCGGCCUCGAACCACUCCUGCGCGUCCUCGAACUCGCCGCGCUCCAGCAUGACGCACCCGAGCUGGUGCAGCGCCAGCUGCUUCUGCCAUGGGAGCUCCGCGCACUCGUUCAGCCUCUCCAGCAGCAUCACCGUGGUGUUCGACUUCAUGUCCUGCUCCAUGGCGACGUGAGAGAGGAAGUAGUAGAGCGCGAAGGACGCGUUACCGGCGAUGUCGAGGCGCUCCCGGCCUUCCGGGCUGCAGAGCAGGCGCGCGAUGUCCGGGUUGGUGAGAGACUUGGGGAGCUCCCGCAGGAAGGCCUGGAGGCAGGAGGCGACGAGGAGGUGGGAGGCCUCCUCGAGGCCGACGUCGACGAGGGAGUGGGCGUCGUCGACGCCGCGCACCAUGGCCGCGAGCUUGUUGUCGCAGGCCGCCUUGAGGCCGUCGCAGCAGAACUUGUUGGCGAAGGCGAGGAGCUGGGAUAUGAUGUCGGGCGGGAAGUCAUCGACGCGGCCGUGGCGGCUGUAGGCGGCGACGGCGCGCAUGCCGCGCGGCGUGAUGCCGUCGCGGGAGAAGUCGAUCCGGUCGCGGUGCGCCUCGGCGAACCCGCCGUAGAGGAGCGUGUUGAGCGGCUUGGAGAGCGCGGCGAUGCACGAGCGCUCGCACGCCACCUCCUCCUCGCCGAUGACGAACCACAGGUCGUUGGUCUCCGGCUCCUCCUCCUCGCUCAUCUCGGACGCGUUGCGCCUCAGGCGGUGGGGCGGAGGGGUGGCGGGAGGAGGCGGUGGGCGGCGGCACGGGCAGACCGGGUCCACGCCGGCGGACGCGGUGGCGAAGAGCGCGGCGCGCGGGCACUCGAGCAGCGGCGUCGUGGCGGUGCAGGGCGCGAGCGGCGGCGGCGCCGGGUCGAGCUCGUCCUCGCGGCGCUCGUACCGGAGCCACGCGGCGAGCACGGCGCGGCGGUGCGGGUCGUCCGCGUGGACGCGCGCGGCCCGCAGCGCCCGCCGGAGCAGCCGCGCGUCGCCGACCGACUGGAACAGAGCGUGCUGCUCCAGGUACGAGUCGCAGAGGUCGUCGUCGCCGCCCCCCGCGGCGGCGGCCGAGACCCGCCGGUACGACGCGGCGAGCGCGCCGACGUGGUCGACGGGGCGCAGGCAGGCGUCGAGGGCCGGCUCGAGCGCGUCGGCCACCGGGAGGCCGCACGGCAGGUGGUGCUCGGGCGCGAAGGCCCCCGACGUGGACGGCGCCGCGUGCGGGUAGUAGAGCGAGCCCGACCUCAUCGAUACGGUCUUGGGCGGUGGCGGGGGUUGGGGCUGGGGCCUGCCGCUCCCGCCGGCAGCAUCCCCUGAGCCGGACGUGGACGCCGACGCCCCGACGGAGCUCAAGGCAUAUAAUUGCGCGGCCUUGCAACCCUCGAUCAGCUUGAGGCUCUUUAUCGUCGUGAGGAAGUUAUUGGUCAUGGUCUUCCCGUCGGCGCUCGCGCGUGCCUUUGGCCGGCAAGCCUGCCGCACGGCGACGAUCGUGCCGGAGCGGGAGUUCCCGGCGGAACGGCUGGUGCGCGCGCGCGUCGCCUCCGCCCUCCCGCGCGGCCGCACGUCCCCGCCGUGCGCCCGGGCGAGACCUGUUAAUGCCGCUGGUUGCGGGGGGGCGGCGGGGAGAAGGCCGGGCGCGCGGGGGGGACGAGGCGCUUCGUUGGGGACGGAGGGGAAGGACACCGAGGAAGGCGGAGGUCCGUAGCUGCCACCACGGCACCACCCUCUUCUGCAGGAAUUUCCCUUUCGGAAAUUUUAGUCGUUUUUUUUCUUCCGUGCUGCUGUAACCGUGGGAUUUCGCUUGAAAUGGACCUCUUUCCCUGGGGAGGGACAGCACUACAGCAGGAAACGAGGUGAUUCUGCUUUGCAUUUUACAAAGCCUGCAGGGUCAAAAAAAAAUGUGCAGAAACUGAGGUUAACAUGUUGAUGAUGGUGUGGAGCCGUAAAGCUACACCAUCACAUACUGCAUAGAUCCCUCUUCCUUGUAUCGUUUAUAACUAUAUAUUCACAUUAUGAGCAUUAUCCAGCCUAGGAACCAAAGAAAAAUACCUGUUUGAUAGAGCUCCAUCUAAUUAUAAUUCUCUAUGGAAGCUGAUUUUUUGAGAGAAUUGAUUCUGUGGAUGAAAGUGAUCCUCUUUGAUUCUCUAACAUAAAUUUUUAAAUAAGGAUGAAGAAUCACUUCGAAGCUACUUUUUUUCCAGCUCCCAGCCUCUUACUUUAUUUCAGCGAAUCAUUUCACAGAAUCAGCAAGGAAUCAUCAGCUUGGGAGCUCCGCCAAACACGACCUAAAGUCCAUCAACUUCCGCUUAUCACACUUGUACAACUGACUAUCAUGUGAAUGUGUUUCCUGACUGUAGUUAACAAGGCAAUCAGGGGUUGCCUAACUAUACAUCAAACAUCAGGGCAUGUGCUAUCAUGCAACUGCAUUUGAAAUUAAAAUCACUGCUCAAAUUAUUUAUCUUCUAACCACGCCGAUGUUCUGAGUGUAUCAAAAUGAAAAUCUUCACAAAAAGGUAUUCACGGGACUUUAAAGGCAUAAGAUACUAUAUGCUUUAUUGGAUGAAGAUUUCUUAUCCUCAUUUCCUUUUCUCUCUCCCUCUUUUUGUUAAGAAGAAGGUGAUGGUAUCCCUCACCUCCCCAGGGUUCCACAUUAUCUACUUGUAUUUUUCUUGCAGAUGUUUUGUAAAAUGAUAAUCUCCACAAUGUUAAUAAAAUGGUAAAAGUAAUGAAUAGAGAGAGUUAAGGCUAGAGGAGGGAAUGUUGUUGUAAGUUGGGCGUCGCACUGUUCAGCCUCGCUUAAGAUAAUUGGGGGGUCACGAUAUGGAGCGAGUCGCGCGGGCCCCGCCGGUGCCGGGCGAAGGGAUUGGACGUACGUGUGGAGCAAUCAUGGGCGACUGCUGGUGAAGUGAUCGCCUAAUGAUAGGCGAGGGAAGGGCAGAUAGAGAUGGCAUGCAGCAGCUGGGGUGGCGGUGGGAUUAGCGUGUGGGCGAGCCACCUCUGUGGGGUCAUUAGAUACUGUUAGGCUUAAUUAACCCCCCGCCACCAUGAUGGACUGUGCCUGUGCGCGACGGGGGGAGGCGGGCCCCACGUGCUUAAUCCCGCCUCCCCGCUCUGAUCUCGGCAGCGAUCCGCUAGACCGCUACCGGCGCGUCGCGACAAAGCAGAGAGAGCAUGCCUCCAAGUCGACCUCGGACCUUUCGGAAGAGCCCCUGCUUAUCUGACGCUACAGAUAGGUUAACGUCGACACAUCGUGCGUUUUUUUUCCUUCUCUUGAUAGGAAAAAGAUAGGUAUUUAAAAAAAAGAAAAAAAGGAUAGGGAAAUGAAUUUUGGGAGGACACUCCCUGGGAUAUGGACGUGCAUGGAGAGUUUGGAUCCUUGUGCUCGUGGCACUGCUUUCCUUUAUCCUUGGGAUCGCCGAUGUCAUAAUGCCAGCACAGGAGCUAGGUGCGUUGUCUCGUCAACCAAGUGGACGGGGUACGUGGUGCCGUGUCGACCUGCUGUGCGGCCACGCAGCCGACCAGGAAGAGCGCGACCGAACUUGGAACGUUCAAGUGCACUGUACCAUGGGUGCGCAUGAUCACGAGUCAUGGGCGCCAUACGGCUUCGCGGAGAAAAGAAAGAAAUAAAGAGGUACAAAAGCUACAAACUCCACUUUAGCACUAAGCAGACAGUGUGUACUAGACUACCAGUGCGUGUAUGCUCUUGAUCCCACAAUAAAAGGAAAAAAAAUGCUGCAUGGACCCGGAUUUCAGGGCGUGGGGCGUACCUCUAAGUUUCUCGCUCGGCCCACGUUUAAAGUGGACCAGUUUAGAGAAGUGGCCUGGGUGGGUGGGUUUCGAUCGCGCAGUUUCUGGAGCCCAGUUCAUGACAGGCCAGCCCAUCGAGUCUGAGGCCCGCGUACAGAAAACCACCUGCGCAUCACGUGGCACGCGGCGCGCGUGAGGCCCGUGAUGCGAGCCACAGCUUCCCGCAGGCAGAGGCGCAGAGCACGGAUCAAUGCCAGCAUCCCGCGCUACGAGCGAGCGUGACACAACCCCGGGGGCGUCGAGCAUGGCGUGACCGGGUUCCCCGCCGGCCGAGUGACCGACGGGUCCUUCGAACUGGGCGACGGAACGCGGCCAUGGUUUCCAAUUUCCUGCACGUUCCCGUGCGAAGUGCGAUCACCCCGCGCCGCGGAUUUGCGCCCUCGGUGGCAUUUGGGUUGGGUGUGCUUGCCCCGCGGACGCCGUCGUGCGACCAUGUUAGGCGUGGUGCUCUGGUUGGCCGUUGGCUGGCGCCUGCCAAAGCUGUUCGGUCGCGCGCCUCGAGUGACCGCGCGCGAGCGGCGGCGCUGGGCUAGUCCGGAGGAGCCUGCGCAUUGGUGGUUGCCUGGGUUAGCUAGCCCGGGCUGCCCGGCGGCGCGAGCGGCGAUGAAGGACGGCAGGCAUGGCGGAAAUGGUGGUUGACGGCGGCGGCGAGGAGUUUCCGUUCGUUUGCCCACGUGCGUCGUGUAGGCUUGUGGCACAGUUCAAACUUCAAAUCCUCGAUGUUUUGUAAACGAAACUGAAAUGCAAAAACCCUCCGUAUAACAUAAAUUCUGAAGCAACCUGCAUCAGCUGUUAUAUCUGUUUCUGAUCGAUCUUACAGCGCUGUGCCGCCGCCGCCUUCUUUUUACCUGGCCAAACAAAAGCUGGGAAGCUUUAACGCCCGUCAGCUUCUGCCAAUCAUUGGAGUGAUGAGUGAGUAUGAUGGCAGAGCAAGUACACAUGCUGACAGGCACCACUGCUGCGCCAAGAAGCACGUUGCCAAUCAUUAGCAGAGUGAUGAAUAAAGACCGAGGACCAUGAUUCCAUAGACAUAGGAAGUAGGAGUAGCAUACUAGCUAGCAUCAGAUAAAGUACCCCAAAGAUACAUAUGUACUGGAUGAUUCCGCAACUGAGCAGCCGGGCAGCUGUUAAACCAAGAGGGAUUACAGUACUAGCAGUUUACCAAAGUGAAGCCUGAAUCGCUAACAAUAACACAGAUACUUUUCAGGCUAUUAAGCCUCUCUCCCUCUUUUCUCAGUUGAUGCAAACCUGCAAUAAUCAGUGAACUAAAAAAUCUCACCAUGUGCUAUCCUAUAUCUGGCUAAGCUUGUCAUGUAACCUAAACCGAUUUAACUUUCCAUAAGGGCAUCACAUCAAGUGCCUCCUAUCUCCAUGAUGCGAUCGGCUCUUUGGCAGAAAAAAUAGGCUGGAAUCUGGGUUGUGGCUACCUUGGCCAGCCUAUUAUCCUAGCUUCUCUUCUGCAAAAGAGAACACAAAGAUAUCAGGGAAUUGUAUCAUCUGAAUGAUUGAACGGUCAGACAUGAAUGACUUCUCAUGCGUCUACACAAUAAACACACUAUUGCUUCUGAACAACAAUAAGCACUCAUAGAAAUAUGAAUUCUGUAAUUUGUACUCUGCUGUCAAGAGGUGCAACAACACAUUUAAGUGGGGGCAAACUUUGCACAAUGAUCAGCACAAUGAUUAGUUUCGCCAGAAAAUACCAGUAUCUCCCGUUUGAAAUCCUACAUACCAAGCGACCCCAUCUUUCAAAAAAAAAAAAAAAGUGAUCCCGAAACCAAUUCAAGGCACUCGUUCCUUUCUGGAAAUAAAGGAUGUCUAGCCGAAUUGAAUCAUCUCCUGAUCAUGCGUUAGUUGGUCUUCUCUGUUCUCUCAACGAAUGAAAAUUUCAAGCCAUGCCGCCUCUCAAUUCCAACACUAACCAACAAUUAUCGAACACGAAUUGUGCAAUAAACACCUGGUGACAUGCUCUGCUAACGCAAAGCACGCGUUAAACCAAAACAAAGAUCAGGACUCACCAACUAGAAGUCGCCGCCGGCCGUUGCGGCGGCGGCGGCGCCGUCGACACCGACGGAGGAGGUGACGGCGACGUCGACGAGGAGGCGCAUACGCUCGAUCUCGAGAUCGCGCAUCGCCUCGAGGCGGCGCUCCUCCAGCCGCGUGGCUUCCCUCUGCUUCGCCGCCUCCACCCGCUCGUACGUCCCGGCAAGCCUGUCCAGAGCCGCCGCCACUUCCGGGCCCACGCAGCUCCUCCCGCCGCCUUCGGGGUGCUCCCCCGAGGCGGCGCUCAACGGCGACAGCGACACCGCCGUCCUCGGGCGCUUCGGCACCGGCGGCCAGUCGCGGGGCAGAGGAGCCCCGCCGCUCGCCUUAUGGUGGUGGUGGUCGUCGUCGUUCUCAUCCUCCUCCUUGACCUUCGCCGUCGUCGUGGCGCCGGCGGGACGGUGCGCGAACCCGGGAGGAGCGGAGGGCGCGAGGUGCAGCAGCGCGCGGAGGCGGUCGAGCCACCCGGACACCGGCGGCGGCGGCGGCGGGCCCCCCUUGGGCCUGGCGCGCUCGGCCCUGAGGCGCUUCUUGAGGUAGUCGACGCGGUUCUUGCACUGGUCGACGGUGCGCGGCGCGCGGCCGUCGGCGGCGCGGCGGGAGGUGACGGCGGCGGCGCAGGCCCGCCAGUCGGCGGGGCGGAGCGCGCCGCCGCGGGCGCGGAGGUGGCGCGGGCCCCAGGCGUCGAGCAGCGCCGACGUCUCCCCGUCGCUCCACGGCUCGGGCGUCCACGCCGGCGGCGGUGGCAGCGGGCGGCGGCGCGUCGACGACAUCGGGCGGGCGGGCGGGUCGACGGAGGGAGAGGCAGAGGCUGGCUCGAGAGGGAGGCGAGGCGGAGUCUGCCCGGGGUGGGUGCGGCCGUGAGGGGCGUGUGAUGCUUGUGCUCCUGCCCGAGCCCGAUCGAUCGAUCGGUCGGUGGCGUCGCGCCCCCGGCCCACCCUGGAUUGUGUCAUUGUGUGGUUACGUCGGACGCGUGUGUAUAUAUAUACGUGGGGUGCGUGGAAUGGGGCGUGCAUCCGCGGCACGGCACGGUGCGACGCGACGCAGGGUGUGGGUGAGUGGGGGGCUCGGGUGCGGCGCGGUCACGCUGGAGGCUUUGCUCGCUCGGUCGAACGAACGAUCGGGCUGGGUCGGCUUCCGUUGGUUUUGGUGCCGUGUUGCGGUGCGGUCCCGUGCCCGUUCGCUCGGCUAUGCCAGCGCGCGCGCGCGGCUGGAACGCUUGUCACCUUGGCCCGUGGGACGCGAGCCGUCACCGAUCGCCGGGGCGCGUCACGGUGCCGGGGCGGGGUCUCGUUGUUGGUUGCGUCGCCGCUCGCCGGGGCGCGGCAGACGGGCGGAACCUUUUCCAUUUCUAAAAGAACGGCAUCGUUAAGUUAACUGGAAACCGUAUAUUACAACUAACGUUAAUUGCUGUCGAGUACACCACGGUAAAGUAAACUACAGACACACCACUGAGCACUAAGCACAACCUAAAUAGCCAAACUACUCUCAGUACACUACACACCAUCCAUCAUGGUCAUCUCACCUCAUCUUCAGAGGCAGUACGUGUUAGUGCUACUCAAAUUCCAGUACAUGGGUUCCACUACGCGUUCUCCAUCUUCCACUGCUGCUCCACCUUCACGGCGUCCAGCAUGGCCCGCUGCGCCUCCAUCUCCAUCUUCAGGUUCCCGGCGCCGAUCCUUGCCAUCUCCACGCGCUCGUACACCUCCGCCAGCUUCGUCACCACCGCCCCCGGGCAGAACCCCGAGCUACUACUCCUCGCGGCCCCAUUCCUCGGCCUCCUCGGGACCGUCCAGCUCGCCGCCAACCCAACGCUUCCGCCCACCUCCUGCUUGACGGCGGGCGCCGGAGCCCUGGUCGCGGCCGGGAAGCCCGGUGGCGGGCCGUCAGCGCUGGCCAGGAAAGGGUGGAGCUGGCGGAGGUGGGGCCACCUCGACGGCGGCUGCCUCGAGAGCUCCUCCUUGUACCGCUUCUUCAGGGUGCGGACGCGGGUCUGGCACUGGAGGCGGGUGCGGUUGAAGCGGCGCCCCGCGGCGGCGCGGUGAGCGUUCACGGCGCUGGCCGCGGCGCGCCAGUCAUUGAGGAGGAGGUGGCGCGGGUGGCGGCGCAGGUGGGCCGGGCCCCACGCGUCGAUGAGGGUGGACGUCUCGCCGUCGCUCCAGUUCCCGGAGGCUCUCUCCGGCGGUGGCUUGCGGCCGCAGCUGGGCAUGCUUGCUGGGUGCGCGGAACUGAGCGGGAGGCUGGCUAGAUGAGCAGGCCGGGCGGUUGCACUUGAACAAGCGGACUAGCCGCGUGUAAUAACACGGUGGCUCUCCUCUUUCUUAUAAGCUACAACCAGCUACGUACUCACAGUUACCACGGUAAAUUUCGUGGGCAGAAGAGGAAAAUAUCAUUUGUGGGUAGCUGAGCAUUAUCCUGCUGGUGGUACUUAUCUUCUUCUUCUUCUCCUUCUUUUUUUGAUACCGACUUCUCUUCGAUUUGAGUGGGCAAGCAAUUUCUUGUGGGCGAGGGUAAACGUUAGUUACUUUCUAUACCCAACUAGCCAUUGUGAGACAGCUAUUGCAGAUGGCCGGAAUUACAAAAUUCCGUGCUAUGCGUGGCAGUUUAUUACUAGGAUAACUAACGAUGUGUAAAAACAAGAGUGAAUGAAAUUGCACGGUCUAUUUGCAACACAGCACUCUUCAGGGGAUCGGUUGACCAGUUACCCAAGUAGUACUGGCAAAUGAAAAAAGGGCAAGGCAUAUGCAAGAAUAUAACCUAUGGUUUAAUUUCAAGGGGGUUGCUACGGGGAAAUUUUAUAAUUUUGUUCAAAAUUUAACUGAAAUCCUUAUGUGAUUCCCGGCCUGAUCAUAGCUUCAAGGUCCCAGCCCACUCACUUCAAUUGGGCCGGGAAUGAGCCCAUCCAGACGAGAAUAAUAUGAUGCAUGAACGCUGCCGAUGGACUCCUAAGCCAAUUUCACUGAGAAGACAAGAGACGGCCACACACCAAUAUGUUGUCCAACCAAAGCAAUACUUAUUUGCUAUUAGAAACGCUGGCUUUGGCGCUAUAAAUCCUUAUGACCUGAAUGAACAUGCUCAGAACUCAAGCCACAAUUAAACAUGCAAUUCUGUAGGCGUCAGUCCGGGCGCAUUGAAUUAUAAAGGGUUUAUAACUAGCUAAAAUUUGAAAGUCAAAUCAUCUUUGUGCUAAACCUGUUAGGGUAAUACCCCGCUUUGAACUAUAGCAUCUAAUUGAUUGAAUAUUGUGAUAAUAUACCAUCACAAAGUUUAUUUGUGCAGAUUACUUUCAGAAGGCGAACUCCAUGCAUUUAUUUCUUACAACCCCGCGGUGGGAUGGACUGCAUCCAUCAGUUUGUAGCGUUUCUCUUGAACACCAGCAACACCCAUUUGUAUCUCAAUUAUUGUAUGUAGAGGUAUCUACAUGAAAAUAUUUCCAGUCACAACAAAGAAAGGUUCCAAUUAUACUACAACAUGUUGGCACAAGUUGCCUUACCUCAAUAUUUGGGACUUCCUCAAGUGGUUUGUCAGCAAAAUAUGCAUAAAGUGCUCUUAACACGGCCUAUACAGAAAAUUUCUCUCAGGUAUCCACAAUAGCUUAGUACCAAAAGGAUGUUCAGAAGAAUGAAAAAGCUGGUCCUUACCUGGUGAGCUAUGACUACAACUGGUGCACGCUGUCGUUCAAGCUCAAUUAUUACAGGUUCUAGUCUGGGCAGAGACGAAUGUCAGGAUUGAGUGGCAAGGAAGAUAAUAACAGUAACCGACUUAUGUAAAGAGGCAUGCAAUAGUAUCAAGUAGCCUUUCGGUCAAAAAGAAAAAAUAGUAUCAAGUAGCCCAUAUCAACCUUUGAAUGACGUCAAGGUAGGAUUCUCCUCUUGGAUAACGAUACCUCAGCUUGUCUUUUCGACGUGAUCUGAAGGCACUCAUGAAGUGAAUAGAAUGAGAGAUCAUACUGAAUAAUUGUAAUAACAGAUCAUGUACAAGGUGUCACCUACCAAAUUUAAAAACUACAGUACGAAUGCUUGACUAAAAUUCUCUUUAAGACGAGGGGGAAAUUUUUGAUAUAAAAUGGCAUGGUGUCAGUGACUUCACAUACUCAUAUUCUUCAGGUUUACUUUUCUUUAUCUCAUCAUAUGUCAUCCCAUCACAAACCCCAGCAUUUAUCUCAUCAAGAGCACGCCAUUGUAUCUAGAAGACAUGUGGGAAAACAAGUUAGUUUUUCUGAGAACAAUCAUUUGAAAACCUUUUUUAUUAGCUACAGAAACUAACCUUUGGAAAACCAAUGAUCGGAUGUGCUGUUAAUAUUGUCCUCUGGAGUGUGCUAGUCCAUAUCUGACUUGGUUGUUGCACAUAAAAUUAAUAAAUAUUUUUUUCUUGUUAUGAUGAGAAGCAAAUGGCAUACUUACAGAGGCAGUCCUCUCAGACUUCAGUCGCUUCUCUACAAAGCUUGCAAGCUUUCUUGAAUAAAGCUGGCCAGACUCACUGCACACCAAUUAUUCCAUCACAUGAAUGCCAAAAACAGAAGACUGUAAACUAGUAUACACGGAGAAAUACCAAUUUAGAAUCCAUGCGAGCAUACGGCAACACGAAUGGAGUUACUUUACCCAUAAUUAUAACUACCUCUGUUUUGUGUCCCCUUCGAUAAGUUCACAAGUAUGCUAAGCCUACUAAUACACCUACAUCUACCACCAAGGUUUAUACCUAUUGUGAAUCUUCUUAGUCUCUUUUAUUUCUUCUUAGACCCUUUUUAAUAUAACGAUGCGCAGCUCUCCUGUGCAUUCGAGGAAAAGAAAAUACAUAUCAAUCUAUCACAAGCCCUAUUUACAGCACAUAUAACACAAAGUUCAUCAAUGAUAAUCUAACACAGUAAGAUAACUAAAAAUCGCAAAAACAAGGGUGAGGUGUCUAUCCUGGAGUUAAACGUUCACAACUUCAUUCCUAUUUCGAUGCAAUGAUACGCGGUUCUCUUGUGCGCUUGAUGUAAAAAAGAGAGCAAAAACCACAGGUUAAUUAGCAAGGAAGGAUUUUGUUUUACUCAGAUCUGAUAUUUCACUGUACAUUGGUUUGCAUGCUGACAUACAACACUUACGGACAUUUUAAACUUUAUCAUGGAUUCUUCCGUACUGUGGCACCCAAAUUAAAAUCACAGCAAAGAGCUAAAUAACAAAAUUGCAGAACAAAGAAAUAAAAGAUACUAAUGACAGAAAUGCGAAUCAAGAAACAACCUCAAAGAAGAGUCUCCACCGAUUCUCCCUCUGACAUUAUCCAUACUUUCGCCAUGUCUCGUUAGCAGAAUAGGACGAGGUGUCAGAUGACAGUUUACCUGAGUUAGUUGAGAAAACACAUAUUACGAUUUAACUUAUAUCUAUUCGAACUUUGGAAGCGUUUUGAUUUUCACCUCCAGGUUCAGCCAAGAAAGCAAAAAAUCUCUUUUCACAUUGUGAGGAUUUUCUACCCAUGUAAUCUAUUAGCAAGGAGGAUUUUCUACGACUCAAUUACCACAUUGUGAAGAUAUGGAGCAGAGUGGAAAUUUUGAAAAAAAUACUCAGAUAAACAUACAGACAAUCAGACAGACCCCAAUAGAUUAGAUGUCUGUAUCAUUGAAUCACUAAAUAAGAUGCGCAUUACGAUUUGACCUGCAAGUAGAUCAGAGGGAACUACAGUUCUACCGAAUGUCAAAGAUAUCCAGUAGCCUUAAGGUGCACAUAAAAAAAAGAUUGGACUUGGGUAUGUACCAAGAAGAAAACAAUCCGUCCAGGCAAGUAACCACUUAUGUCAUUAAUCUGCAUGAAAAUCAAAGCAGGGUAUGAGAUCAGGAGUGUGUCACUAGUAGCUAGGCUGCAAGUUAAUAUUGCGUUAAUCUUAGAAGGCCAAAGUAGGGUAUGAGAUCAGGAGCAUGUCACUAGUAUCUAUGCUGCAAGUUAAUUUUUUGCUUCAUCUCAAAAGAGUACUUGUUUCUCUAGUCCAUAUACUCAUGAUAAACAAAAGGAGAAUCAGGUCAAGAUUGUGUAAUUAAUUGAGUAUGCAGUAGCAAUAUCAUGGGGAACAAAACUUUUGAUGCUGCUUUUACAUGUGUGACUUGACUAUUCACACAUACCUGUAGUUGGCCUCCCUUCCCACUAACCAUGUCGAUCAUUUUUAUGUAAGAGCCUUCUUCCACCGGUUCAUAUACCUGCGUUCAAGUUGUUUGCAUAUAACUAUUCCACAUUCUAGAAAAAAAAUAGUGUUCCUAUAUAAAGGGCCAAUUUUAUUGCAAUUGUAAUUUCUUUUCACCCCGGAUCUGCCAUCACAAAUUGCUUACUUCUUAUAUGCCAUUUGGUUUCAAUUUCUUACCAUCCUAUGCCAUCCACGCACCUCCUUUACUAUAGUCCAUAAAAACAUGUCCUAAAUUAACAAUCUACCCUCGUCUUCAAGCUCCAGCGAAACUCCUCUCAUAUCUCUCUGCAUGCCAUGGGCGCUGGUCUUCUGCGGUGAUUGAACUGGCAUCUUGGCCCAAAUUCAGCUGGGGCUUCGAGAUGCGAUGAAACGGAAGCAACAUGUAUAAUGAGUUGGGUUGGGUUUGUACGUGGGCUUUGAAUUUUGGAUAGGAACAGGAACAUAUCAGGGUCAGUGGCUCACAGAUGAAUUCAGGAAGAGAAGAAAGAAGACAAGGAAUGGAGGAACAAGAAGGCUUGGGCAAACUCGUCUUUUCAUACCUGUCAUGCAUUGACUGGACAAGAACGGUACGAAGGGCGAUUUUGCAAACAGAUGGCAUACAGCGGAUAAGCAAUUUUUGAUGACAUAUAAGGGUUUUAGGAAAUUUGCAAUGGCAUAAGGGGGAUUUUCUCUAUAAUAUAAUUCGGUAAUUAUGGACCUUUUCAUAAUAGGUCAAUCGCUCUUUGAAAUCCUGCACACCAGCUUCAAAAUCUGUCCUGCAAGAUAGAAGACGGUGAUCGCAUAAAGAAGUGCAUCAAUAGGAUGAACAUAGCAAGUAAAUAAGUUAUUUCUUACUGCUCUGCAUAAUCGGGACUUUGUUGAACUUUCAAUCGUAUAUUUCUCUCGAGAACAUCCUUGUCAUUACAUAUCGUUUCCAAAAAGAUGAUCUGGAAAGUAAAGGGAAGGACCCAUAUGUUAAAGGGCAAUAAUAAUACACCCCAAACAGUUACACAAUGCACAUACGUUGUGAACAAUCUUAUCAGAAUAUCUGGUUUAUGCAACUUUAGAAGAUUAAUUUUAUAAAUGCUGUCACAAGGCAAACCAAAUAUUCUUCCAAAGGAGUACACUGAAUCCAUUUUAAAACAUCAAUGUCUCGCAUCUUUCAACACAUGAGGCAAAUGGUCUAAAUUUUACUCUUAUGAUUGUAGUCAUCCACCCCUUCCCUAAACAAAUUUAAUUCUCAGAUUACAGAUCUUGAACAUGUUCUUCCAACUCUCCCCACACUACCAUAUAACACUCAGAAGAAAGAUCCAUCAGUCUAGGUUCCAAUGGGGUGGCAGUAACAGGAAGAUGAGUAACUCAACAAUGACAUUUUGGAAUCAUCUCAUAUGCUCAUAUGCUCUUAAUAUGUAACAAAGCAAGAACUGGAAAGUUCUCUACUAAAAGCAGUUUGUGCACGGUAACUCUUGUUUACUGGGUUUGCUGGCAAGAGCAGUCUUUGAAUGGUAACUCUCAGUUCAUUACAUUUUACUGGUAAAUGAGAAUGUUGAUAGUUUUCAUAAUUCUAACAUGGAAGAUAACGACAUGUUUGAAAAUGCUCUGGAGUGGCUGAUCCUAUAUAUAGUGAUCGGAUGGAAUAAUUCUUUGCUUUUGAGCCAGACCAGACCAAAACACCAGGCGAUGCAAUUUUUCAUAACUUCUAGUCCACAUGCGUGCGUUACUAAGAAGCAACUGGGCAUGAACUCUAAUUUUCACACCCUAGUGACAAACGCAUAGACCACCCAAAGAUGUUUCCACUUUGUAACAGAGGGAAGGUGCUUGAGAGAAUGCAAGUAAAUGGAUGAGUCUAGAUAAUAUAAUUCAUUGUAAACAGCUGUGCAAAUUUCUUAGCUUCUUCUGGAAUGAAUAUACAAGAACAACCUAUUUGAAGGUCACCCUUUUUCUAUUUAAACAGCAUUAUUGGCACUUGGCAGGAGACAAACGAUUCAAAAAGCCAAAAGGAUAUCCAAGAUGUCCACACUGAAUAAACUAUACCUUACAUUUUCCUUCAGCCAUUUUCAUCAGCAUGUUUCUCCGUAUUCUUGUGCUGUUUGUGGCAUCAAAGAUACCAACCUGUGGACCAGAUAAAAAGUUAAUAAUUAGAAAACACUAACACAGUGUUACCUAACUAAUGCCUUACCUGACCACCUUCCUGCAUCCAGGAUAGCAUAUCUUCCAUUGCUAAUGCUGCCACCUGAAAAAGCAUGGGGCCAGAUCUUAAAUUAAAAAAGAAGAAGAAUGCACGUAUUUCAUGAAAAGGCAUACAUGAUGCUACCCCUGUUCUCAAAUAGAUCCUGUUUUAGGAUGUGCGACACAGUUGGAACUAAUUCAUAACAAACGGCUAUAUUUUUCUUUAUCAUUUUUCAAUACAGCGGCAGCAGUAGCAAUUCACUGACCUCGUUGCGUGCCUCAACGCCCUCCCUGUUAUCUCCACGAAAGAAAUCAGCAGUCUGCUCAAAACAACUAGAUCCUAUUAGAAAUUCUUCUUGGACAGGGAUAUAUAGGACCAUAAUGAAACUGAAACUACAAACUAUAUAUUUCAUAAAAAAAUAGGAAAAAAUAUCAAGAACUAAAUACAAGCUUGAGAGUAAUAUUUCUGUGUGACUACUGUGAAAAAACACAAGGAGUAAAAAAAAAAUUGUAAAUACCUGAUUGGUUCCAUGCUUGAGCCGACGGUACUAAAAAAAUAACAAACAUGAUUAGUGACAUCAUAGAUAUAUGCAAUUCUCUCCAAAAUUAGGUUAAGAUAAAGUUCACCUUUCCAACAUUGAAGUGUUUUGUUUCAUGACCUAACCAUCGAAGAUAUCUUGUAAGUUUAGCUGCUGUAAAGGUCUUACCACGAGCUGGCAACCCAACCUAGAAUGUCAUCAUAUGAUUACAACAGAUGAACAUAACAGCAUGCGUACUUGAAGAAAAAGAAAGUGUGUCAAUGAAUUAACAGAAACCAUGCACAUAAAAAAUUAUAUAUUCUUGUAAAGCUGUGCCGUACAAAUUUUUUAUCGGUGGAGUACUUGAAGAAAACAAAAGGUAGCUGGGUACACAGUAAAUUUAAAUUCAUGCGGAUGAGUACAGAUGGUGUGCAAACUACAGGCAGACCAGGAUGCAUCUUUCAAAGUGGAGCAGUCAUAUCAGUAUAUCACUUAGCACUUAGCAAGUUAUUUUCUGUGGACUUUGGGUUGAACAAAAGAUCUGCUGCAAGAGGUUAUUAUACCCUUAAAGAAAGUCAGAUUUCUAUAAUUUGUACACAAAUGAUAAUUCUGUGAAAACAAAAAAUGUUCAUGUAGCAGCAAGUUAAGUAAUCUAGGCUAAGUGUGUUGUAACUACAAGGUAAAUCAACAUUUGUGAGUGUAUGAAAAUUACCAACACAAUGGUCAACUUGCGGUCCUCUUUUGGGCCAUACAUCUGAUCAGCUACUGCAGCUGCUGCAACAGCUCCUUCUGCUGCUGGCAUAUCCUGCUGGUGACAACUGUCAGAAGUUAAGAUGACAAAAAAUGAAGCAACAAGUUUUAACAAAUUCAGAAGCUGUUACAAGGAAUAUAAUAGGAUGAUAGGAACUCAGUCAUCUCACAUAAUGUGACAGAAUGUUAUAGUGAAAGUGAAAGUGUGAAACAAAGAGAGGGUGGAAAUGGAAAUAUUUAAAUACUAAGGCAGAAUCCCAUGGUUGUUUCUAAAUACGCAACACUUCAAGAGCUUCAACAUUUUGCAACUUUAACUGAAAGUGUGACCAUUGAAGCACAAGUAGGGAUGCAAGCUUGGCUUUUUCUAGGUCAUUGGGUUGACCCAAAACUCAUACAAUUGAACUAACCCGGAUUUCAAAGCAUGAAAAAUGGGAUGCUAAUGGACUAAAGUAGUGACCUACAACUACCCAUUGUGUAACCAACCGCAUCCCUAAGCACAAGGUGUGUUUCCAUGCAUUUACUGUUGUUGAAGGUUUGAGGUAAUUAAGGUGUGUACCCUCUGCACAUGUUGAAGCAAGUAAGGGCAUAUUUGGUGAUGUUGCCUGUCUUUCCCCAAUUUUGUCAACAGGCAAGAAAGAAUAUGCUUUAAAGCAUUCUUCCUUCCCUGGAACCAAACAUAUCCUAAGUAGUUAUGAAGUUCCCCUUUGGUACUUAUAGUUUAAGGCCUAUAAGAACGCAUCAAAUAGCCCAAUGACACUACAGAGAUUAUACUUGCUAUAAACCCAUGGAAAACAUUAAAGAUUUAGUAGUGAUGUCAAGUGUAUGUACAACCUUUGCUUCAGAAUCCAACUUAAAGUUGCUCACUGAAAAGGUUUCCUUUGUUGGUCUUGCAAAGUUUGGUGAGCCAACACCUCUAUCAACAAACAUUGCCCUUUGUUCUUCCAGUGAUGGUGCAUGCCCUCCAGUUGCGCCCUGAAGCAAACAAUUAUGAAACAAUUCCUGGUGAAUUUAUUAUAACUGGUAAAGUAUAUAUUCAUAGGGCUAUAUAUUCCAGAUGGUAAUGAAACGUUAAAAAAAGUACAUGAAUGACUAUAGGUCCAAACCUUUUCAGUUUAUAUCAGUAAAAAAAUGUUAAAAAAUUCAGAUAUAGAAGGUAAAAACUCUACAGGAGAAGGAACUUGUACAGAUAACAAAUUUAAGCUGACAACAGAUGCCAGAGAGAGGGAGUGGCUUAUGUUUCAGUAAGUAAAGUUGGUGGCUUCAUACCAUAAAUCCAUGCACUUCAGGCUAAUGAAUUUGUUCGAAUUAAUCCAACCAAAUUUUUAUUUCAGAAUGAACUGAAGAUAUAAAUAAAGUAAUUAACUUGCUUCAUGCAUGAACAAGUUAUGAUGACACUACUGGAGAAGUAACUUCGAAGCUGACAAAAUUAUCACAUAUUUCGGCCAAAAGUACAACUACUUUUUCUAUAGUGGAACACCUAAAUUACCACACUUCCAUGAUUUUAAGCUAACAAUUAAUCGAAUAUGAAACUGAAGUUAUACCUUCAUAGUGUUAAUAUAGUGAUUCGGGGAUGAAUCGCCUUUAGUCGAGUUGUACAAAAUGUCCUUUGUGGUAUCAUUGUUUGAGGAACUCCCAGUUUGCAAUAAUGAACGUGGAUUUUCAGUCAAGUUAGCUGCAUAAACAACACCUGAACCCAUGUUUGGUGUUGGAACUACAUACUUCUCUAAAUCAAGCUCCAAACCAGAAGCGAAGCCAUUCUGUUUGAAUGAACAAGAGAAAAUUGGCAGAACAGAAAAGGAAGCAGCAUUUACUUCGAAAUAGAAACAUAGACAUCAGCUUUGUGGGAAGAGUAUUCUCGUGAAAUUCAGGUUCUACCUGUGAUAUGCUUCAUAAUUUUUAUAAUAUAUUUUGAUAAAAGAUUUACAAUCAUACAUCACCAGUAAAUUCAUCAUGUCAUUAUAUGUGUUGGAAUAAAUGUGUUUUCCUAGAACUUCCAAAAAAGGGGGCAAGUCCCACAACCAAGUCGCAAGCUGUCCAAAGCUAUCUACAGCUCAAACAGCACCCUCGAAAGUAUCAGACUGUUAAGUGCCAACCAUUGGUUGGAACCCCAUUCUAGGUACCUCGCUGUGAGCCUGUGGCCAGUGUCACUUGUCGAAUAAUUGUUUUUAUCACCUAUCUUGCAAUGUUAAAUUUCUAUGCAGACCACUAAAUGGCUAUAUGUCAAUAUGAUUAGGUUCCUUAUUCUCUACUUUCUCUAGAAAUUGCCUACGUAUAUCCAAACAUAAAAAUAAAAACAGUGAAACAGACCUUGGCCCUGCCUUCUAACCCAGUGUUGAUAGUAAUAUCAUGGGCCCCUCGCACCAUAGAAGGCAGAACAUACUCCUGAUGAGCCCUCCAACUAGCAGCCAGGUCAAAUGGGGACAGCAUUUCUGUCUCAACCUGAACCUUGCACUCAAGUACAUCCUUCCCUUCAUUGAGUUUAAACACAGCAGUCCUCAUUUCAACUUCAUUGCUCUGGCAACCUAGAGAUCGGUUUGGUCCCUCCUCAACAAUGCACUGAGAGCUAUCAUUUUUUUGCUUUAAAAUAAACUUGAAAUCCAGCGGUUCUAGUAAAACAGGAAAAAUAGAAGGAAAAAAAAACUAGUUAGAAUGCUAACAAUGGAAACAAAAUCCUAGAAUAUCAGUUUACAAAUAACUAGUUUUAGUACUAAAAGCAAGCUUCGCAUACUACAUUGUUCACCUCAGAAACUAGGAUUCACUAAUUCAUCCCAAUAAGAAAAGUACCCCGGCCCAAUUAUUAAAUUACCGGAGCAUCCCAACUUUACAGCACGGAUUGCGCUUUUCCUACCCUAAACCUCGUCAUGGAAGAACCCAAACCCUUUGCGGCCCUGCUAAGCUAUCAAACCCCCGCGAUCAAAUAACUCACGAUGCUGCGAAGGGACGACGCAGCUGAGGUCCCACACGGCGGCGGCCGCCCGCUCCAACGGCAGCUGCAGAAAAAUAAAAACGAAACGCGUCAAAAAUCCGCUCCGCACACAUAUCUCGCGAGCUAGAGGCGAUCCGGAGCUUACGGCCUUGCAGGGGUCCCACGAGCCGGCGACAGGAUGGGAGCCGAAGAGGUGGGGGUCGAGGUCGAGCUCCGCGAGCCAGGGGCUCUCCAGCUUGACGGAUACGAAGAGCUGGUCGGAGAUUCCGCCGGAGCUCGCCAUCGCCGGCGAGAUGGGAGCCUUUGUGGGACUUGCAAGGUGCCGGAGCCCAGAAGGAAGCGUCGAUGUCGUGGGCUCGCGGAUGUGGAGUGGGGCCGACACGGGAGCACGAUCCUCUGAGUACUGUACAGAGAAUAUACUUCCAGAGUCACAGCAAGUGGGGCCGACAACAUGCGUGGCCCGCAGGUCAGUCAUUAAUACGGUGAUAACGACAGUAAACGCAGGCCCGAAGCGCCGGGAAGUUGGUGCGCCGUGCGCGGACGGUGACGGUGCGGGAUCGUCUCGCUGACUCGCUGGCACGUGGGUCCGGAUGAGGUGGCGAGCUGUCCCCGAUCCCCCGUCUCCCUCCACGAAUCCUAGUGAGAAAAACUGCGGGGAAGCAGUAAACGACGGCGACCGGCGGCUGCACGUCGCCGCGGCGAGAUGACCAAUUUGGACCGGCCCGCCGGUUGUUUCUGCCGCGAAUUCGCGUCUCAUCGCGACUGGGAUUCACCCAAGCCUGUGCGAUACAGGUACUUGUGGAGCAGUUGCAGGAUAGCAGUAUAUCUUGCCCUUAUUCAUGUGUGACUGCAGAUUUAGCCAGCGAUUACUCAUUUCUCAUGCCUGCUUCGUUUUGUCUUGCCUCGCGCAUUUGUCUUGGAUGGUUCUGUACUCGAUCAUAUGUUGGUCGAUUAAUUGUUUUGGAGAGCGCAUCAUAGUAAAUGAGUGAAUGUUGGUAGAAAUUUAGUUCGAAUGUGUGUGUCCAUAACUUCAUAUGUAAGAUGCGCUAAGAAUUUUCGGAGCCCCAACAUGGAUCCAAGUGACCAACAACUGAUGCCUAAUAAAUUAAGCUUUAUAAAAUGCAGCAUUAUCCUCAAGAUUUAGUGGACUCCACUUGGAGCCAACCUCGGCAAAACUUAGUAAUCUAUGUGUGAUCUCAUCGUCUCAAUUUUUAUUGAACGCAUGUGAACUCAGAUCACUCUGACUUGCUUGCAUAAGCCUUUAGUUCUUGAAAUGCUUUCCGGCAUCCUUCAUCGAAGCCACCUGCAAGCUGCAGAUUUGUUUUUGGCUCAGGCCGUUAAUUAGUUUACGCAAAUGCCAAUGCCAUUGCAAAGUAAUUUGUAGUUUGGAAUAAGUUACCUGAUGUAUGCGGAAGGCAAAGCGGACACCUUGCAGAAGGAGCUCUUCAUCAUUUGCAAAUGGAUCUGACUUCAGUGUGUUCACAAUGCGGUUCAUGUACUCUUUUGCAAGCUUCAAGGAAGCCAUCUUUAGCUGUUUAAUGCAGGAUGGGCAUGCACAUGUGUCAUAUGUCUAUUAACGGGACUCAAGACUUUGUGCAAUCAAGCGUCUCUUCUUUAUUGCAAGCUGUGACAAAAACAUACUGUGAACAAUGUUGCCAGUUUGCGAAUACGUACUUGGUUUAUGAUUCCGGAGUCAAGCAUCCAUUCCCAUGGGAUCUUCAGAUCCCUGUAUCUUCCACUUGCACUGUCCCUUACUCGUUCAGUGUUAUGAAUACCUUGUUCAAUUCUACAACAAGGGAAAUCACAAUUUGGUGAAUGCUGAUUCCUUGAUUUAGUGAUGCUGCAGAAGCAGGAUCAAAACAAAGUAGGGAUGUAACAAUUUCUACUCUGUUAAACACAUUCCACUUAUCUACUCACUUAUCCUGCAGAGCCUGCAUGCGCUUGAGAGCCAUAGGUGUAGCCACUCUCCUGUCAUCAUGGAAGGAUGAUGCUUCUGAUUCUAGGUUCUUCAGAUCUCGAAAGGUGAAUGCUGCUUCUCUCAUGGCAUCUGCUUUCUUCUCAGGCCAGUUAGGAAAGUGUUUGAGCACUGCUCUUUCAUCCACAAGGUAUGACAAUUCCCCAUCAAGCCACUUCACAAACUCUUCAACAUCAGCUAUCUCUCUGUAUGCGGCAUUCUGAACUUCACUUGCGAGGAAGUUCACAAAGUUGCCCUGAUUUUCUACAUCUGAUUUAAUCUGUUGGAAUGGAAAUUAUAACGGGGUGUUUAGGUUUAGUUCUGAAAAGAGUUUGAUAGGGAAAAUCACCGCCACUACCAACACUAACAAAUAAGUGAUGGUUUGGACAGACAUGGUAACCCAUAAAGGGGAUUUGACUAUUACUUUCUAUUGUAAAAUAUUUAUAAAACCUGGUAAAACUAACUAUCGUGUAAAUGUUUUUCUAGACAAACAUACACAUAUCAUAACCUAAAUAAUUAUUAAGAUACUGUAGCAAAGUCUAAAAGGUUCGACUGCACACACUUCAAAUUUGUUUCAAAAUGUUUCCUUUCUACUUAAGGCCCUAUGAAGAAUACUAAAGCAUGACUUAAAUUCUACACCCAACUGUACAAACCAUUAUCCACCAUUACAUAUUUUACUAGUAGUAGUUCGACUAAAGAGAUGUGAACUAUUAUCAACUCUAGUUUAGCAACACAAAAAUUGGUGAAGUUUUUUUUGAAUGUUAUUAGAGUUCUUUUUUAAAUCAAAUAUACAUAUUUGUAAAUGGAGAAAUUUUUAGCUUAAAAACUCUCUGAAAACUACCUAUUAGCUACCAAGAUAGGCCCAGGCAGGGGUAUCAGUAAUUUAUCUCUGAAUCAACAGCUGAAAUGGUUGUGCCCAAGCCUCUAUCCAUGGUGAUACGUCGUUCUGAAUCAAACCAAACAAAAUCUUGGCUGCUCUCAAAGUAGCACAUGGAUGGAGAGAGAAUAUAUGAUAUAUAUGAUAUAUUCUGAUGAGUAACAUGUUAUGCAAGAAACAGAUUUGACUUUAGAUAUUCAGAAAUUAAUUUCUUGGCAGCAAUCCUUCUCCAACGUCUCUAAUCCAGUAAAGAACUGAUAGCUAAUGCCUUGGAAGUGGGAAGAAACAUUAUCCAAACCACUUCUUGCAAACUUUUAUUUUAAAAAGAAUAAAAGGACAAAGGGGGCAUCAGUAGAUAAGUAGAAGAAUAUGUUAUACAUCGAUAUGCUUGAAAAUGAGAUAGAAAAUAUAUGUACUUACAGCUAAAACAUAAGCUGAUCUGUUCUCAAUCUCUCCAAUCAUCUCCCUGCUGUUAGUUGCUGCUGGAAUUCCCACGGAUCCAGACUUUGCGUCGUUUUUGCCUUCACGGCGUACUAACGAUCGGUACAACUCGACUACCUCUGGCACCCUUUGUAUUGCCUUUGGGCUUCUCUGCAACUUGGAAGGUAGUGGAGGUGGUGGAGGAGGAGGAGGGGCCAUGCAUCCUUCCUUGCUCACAUUGGUCUUUGGUUGGAUGCAUGUCGGACUGGGUGGUGGAUUUGGAACUCUUGGUGCCCUCGAUCUCACUAGCGUUGCCCUCGAGAAUUGCUGCCUGCCGUGGCACAAUGAGCUGUUGAGAUCUACAGCUUCUUUUGCAUCAUCGUUACUCUGGACAAACUGCUUUUCCUUGGAGUAGCUGAUGCUGGUUGCAGAAUUCUCCAGCUUCUUCCAUAGCAUCCUCUUAUCAGUGUCCUGCCCUUCAAGAGAGGAGACCUGACCUUUUAAUCGGCUCACUUGGUGUCUUAGUUGCUUGUUCUCCUCUUCCAGAGCACGGUUCCUCUCGAUCAGGCCAUGGAGCUUGCUUCUCAGAAGCGCAACACAUGCAUCGCCCUCCCUCAUCAUCUCUUCCUCAUCAGAGAAGAUGAGGUUACAGUAUGGUGGUAUUGGAUCCUCUCAAUAUAUAUGUGUCCUACCUCCUCAUUCAUAUAGUGGUAGCAUUAAAGGCGAUGUUUUAUAAGUGAGGUGCUGUAUCACUGGCUAGAGAAACUUACAAAUGUGUAAGCAAGAAUGGGUGGAGCAUUGAGUUUGGUGGGAGCUGUUGCUGGGCUAAUUACUUGUCCUUAAAGUGAUCGCUAUGGGGUAGCUGACUUGUCUGUGGAACUUCACUAAAGUAAAAUGCCGUCAUUACUUGCAUUAUUUUCUCACUUUUUUCUGUGUGCCGUUUGGAUCAUUUGAAUUGAAUCACCCUGGUUUGAUUCCUGUUCACUUAGCAGGUGCUUUUGAGAUAUUAGAUUUAGCUGUUGGAGUGCUAUGCUGCUCUAGCAAAGAGAAAAACUAGUUUGGUAUCUCCUUACUUCUUGUUUUUCUUUGUUUUCUAGUCUUUAUUCUUUAUCGGAAAUUAUGUUGCUUUCUUGAUUCCAAUGGUUGAUUUAUUCUGACUGCAAAGCUUGAUUGUAAGCUUUCUUCUGUCUAAAGUUGUGUAAAAGGAGUUCGAUGGAGCUCCUUUACCAGCCAUAGCUGGGGACAAAUUUUGCUAACAAUAGGCAAGUAAACGUUUUAAAUUAUAGGAAGAAAAAGAAAUAAAGGGAAAGCCGGCCAAAACAGAGAAUAAAAUGGAAAUAAAUUCAGGAUGUGUUUACCUUCUAGACGCAUGAAUAUGAUCCAUUCCUUCAGGUACUUGGUUACACACAUUGUAGAAGUAAUUUUUAUUAAUUUCUGAACUAUAGUAUUUAUUGCAGUUACAGCAAGCCUUGCAGAAAUAAUCCUUGUGAUUUCUGAAGAUUCAUCGCUUUGAGGGAAAAAUGAUGAUUCAAACAGAGAUUUUCAUUUGGUACCAGAAGAAAGGUAAGCAUAUGCCCAUGUCACUCUCAAUGGGUUUACCGUUUAUGGGGGAAAUGGCUACAUGGAUUGGUGUCCCUACAUAUUAAGGUUCUGAAACUGUUGCCAGAGGUGGCAACACGGAAAGCAGUACAGCGUAAACAGAGAUGACAGCAAGAAGUUUCCCUCUGUAACAUGGUGCACAGGUUCUAAUUAAAGUUCCCUGAUGCGUCGGAAAUUGCUGACAUAUUGAAGGAGUUCGUGGAUCCGGAGACGUUUGGAUACCAGGGGCUAAACUUUAGCCCUGUCAUAUCGGAUAUUCGGAUGCUAAUUAGGAGGAUUAAAUAUGAGCUAAUUACAAAACUAAUAGCAGAACCCCUAGGCUAAAUCGCGAGACGAAUCUAUUAAUCCUAAUUAAUUCAUCAUUAACGAAUGGUUACUGUAGCACCGCAUUAUCAAAUUAUGGACUAAUUAGGCUUAAUAGAUUCGUCUCGCGAUUUAGCCUUGAGGUUGUGCAAUUAGUUUUGUAAUUAAUCUAUGUUUAAUACUCCUAAUUAGUGUCCAAACAUCCGAUGUGAUAGGGGCUAAAAUUUAGCCCCAGUCUCUCAGUCUCGGAUCCCACAUUUAGAUCGCGCACACGCAUAUAUAUCAAUAUAUGACACCCAACAUGAGCAAUUGGAUAAGCAUUUACCAACCAGCAAUUUUUUUCCUUCGGAAUUGAUUGACAAAACUGCCAGAUAUUUGAUGUAUGGUGCAUGAACCAUGAAAGAUGCUUCCUCAUGAUCUGUGUAUGGCACCUGAAUGCAUCUGCCACUGUGUUUAAAGAUUUAUCGGCAGUCUCACACAUAAAUGUGAGGAACUAUAUAAGGGGAUGUUUGGGAGGAGGGGGUUAAAUUUUAGCCCCCGUCACAUCGAAUGUUUGGACACUAAUUAGGAGUAUUAAAUCUAGACUAAUUACAAAACUAAUUACACAACCUCUAGGCUAAAUCGUGAGACGAAUCUAUUAAGCCUAAUUAGUCCAUGAUUUGACAAUGUGAUGCUACAGUAACCAUUCACUAGUGAUGGAUUAAUUAGGCUUAAUAGAUUCGUCUCGCGAUUUAGCCUAGGGGUUCUGCAAUUAGUUUUGUAAUUAGCUUAUGUUUAGUCCUUCUAAUUAGUAUCCGAACAUCCGAUGUGACAGGACUAAAAUUUAGCCCCUGGUAUCCAAACGCCCCCUAAAUCGUCUAUUUGCAGAUAAUGAAGCUGUACCAGGGAGUGAUCAUUGCAGUUUACAAUCAUUCUCAGUCAUCUGCAUUAAAGUUCCGCAGAUCGAUGAGAAGAUGCAUAGCCGGAAUCUGAGUUAGUGUCUCCAGUGUUUCUGCUACGAAUUCCGACAAACAUGUGGCUAUUCGUACGCUGUUCAUCAUCUACAACUCAUUUCAAAACCAACGUUGAUAAUAUGAGCACAUCUCGUCGUGUUUUGCAGACACAAAUGGAGGACACUCAUCACGAUCCGGAGUUGAUUCAGAUUUCAGGCGGCCUUCAAGCCGCCAAACAUCCAGUACAAUGAGGCACCCCACUUUUUCUUCCUUGAUCAAACUUUUCACCGGAACAUCAUUGCGUCAGUGAAGGCAACCUCACACUUGCCACGGUGAAAAGUGGGUUUCACUCCGGCCAUUGCCGUCGCCGCGCUGCACCCAGGACGGCACCGUCCGUGUAGGGAAAAAAAAAUCCGGGCAACGUGCGCGUCGGCAUCAGCCUUUUCUGGUGUGGAACUUUUGGGCGGUGCUUGAUCCGACGUUUUGCACUGGACUUUCGUUGUCAGUCGUACACAAGAAUGGAGCCGAUUUCGUCGCUGGAGCUGACGCCCUUGUUGAAUGGCAAGAUCACCCCGGGCCUCCAUCUUCGUUUGGUGAGUGAUCCCAUCACAAUGUUAGAUCAGGAAUAGCAUCACAUUUAGACCAGAGGGCUGAGAACAGUUCCAGUCUUUCACCCGGGACUGCCAAACUGUUUACCAUGUUUUCCACAGGCUGGUAAACUGGUAGCCCGUAUUUCGUAGGACAGUAGAAGUGAAGGAAAAAUAGUUUGUUGGAGCCACUUGCUUCACCAACAGACACACCAGCGUUGAAUGUUAAAUGGAGGCUACACCGGCGUAGCCGGAAUCCAAAGAAACCCCGGGGUUGGCCAGGUACAACGUGCUAAGCAAUACCUAUUCCUCCCCAGGCCUGCACCUAACUUGCCGUUCUUCGAUUCCAAGUUACUGUUGUCACCCAGAGGUUUCCCUUUUCUGCACCAGCAGUUCCACAUGCCAUCAGAAAAACCGAUCUUGUUGCCUUGCCGACAUUCGCACGGUAUGCAAUCCGGAAGUUUCAGUUCAGCGCUGGUCUGAGAGACUGAGAGGUCAGACAGUGAGACACAGGAUUUCAGGGCCAUCUGCAGUCGAGUGAAGAUGUCCCGAUUCUUCCGAUGUCCAACUGAAACCGUGGCUUGUGAAUCAAGAGGGAGAGUACUGUGGCCGUAGGCGUGCGCGUCGCGCCAGGACGCUGGACGCAGGUCUAACUGGAGUUUGGUGUUGCUGGUCUGCUCUUAAUGGAACAGAGGCGAGUUUGGUGGCCUCCCCCGCCGCUGGUCCUGGCGAUAGGAAAAGGGGGAGGCAAUAUGCCGCCGUCCGUCGCGCUCGCCGAGCUGGACCGGCCGUCCACGGGGCUUCGCCCACACGCACGGCCGACGUGGGAAAGACAGCGACCCCGCGCGGGCGGGCACUGCUGCGUCGCCCUCCAGGCUUCCAGAGUUCCAGUCCUCCCCGCCGCCACGGCCAGUGUGGCGUGGCCAUUGGCCACCGACACCUGCGCUGCGCCCCAGGUUCUCUCAGGCCUCAACGUACAUGCAGCCUGUUCGCUUCAGCUUAUUCAGCCGGCUUAUCAGCCACCAAACAGUAUUUUCCUCUCACAACAAAUCAGCCGUUUCAGCUUUUCAGCCGGCUUAUAAGCUGAAGCGAACAGACCCAUGGUACGUGGUGCGAAUUGUGAUGAUAUGUGAUCCAUCUGGCGCUGCGAUUUCCAGAAAGAAAUUGUAUGUGCGGAAUGCUUCGGAGGAGUUCGGUUGAGCCUGCAGAGCCUUCAGCCAUUUGGGCGGCUUCCCCACACUUUCAUCGCGUGGCCCAUUUGGUAAAGCCUCACAAGGUUGUGGGCUGACUGGCCCUAAGCUUUCAAGUGGCCUUGUCAGACACGGCCUGACUUUUCUUUCCAACCAAAAGAAAGGUCGUUGGACCGGAUUUCAGUCAGUUUCGGACCAGCUGUUAAGGUUACAGGUCCAUCAUUGUCAGGCCGGGCCGCGCUUGAGCCUGCCGAAUGUUGACAUGAAAAAUGACGAAUGAGAUUAGCGCGAUGGUGGGUUGCAAAGUUAAAAUUCUUAGGUAUGUUUAGCAGAAUUCUACCUCAGGAAAAUUUACUCCACUUCACAAACUCUAAAAAGAAUUGCAGCCAAACGUGUCUAGCUCCACUAAUUCCGGCUCUAAGAAAAAAGGUGGAGCAGGGGAUCAGAUCCACAUUUUUUGUGGAGUAUCUCAAGAGGUGCUCCAAAACCCCCUUUUCAGACCUCCUGGUGGAGUUAGUGGGUAUUUACCCACCGUUGCCACCCAUUACGCACAUACCGUUUCGAUUCACGAAAAUAAAAACUCCCGUUCGGCCCCCCAUCCCGUCGCCCCCUUCUCUUCCUGUCGCUAGACCACCACCGCUGCCUAAAUUGGGCGCCGUCGGCCCAAUCUCCGGGGUAAAUGGAUGGAUGGCUCCUGGAUUGAACCUCCGCGAGGCAAGCUCCACCCGACGGUGGCGAGCUCAAGCCUCGGCGCGUGCAGCAGCGCCCCUCGCGCACCAUGGCCGCCCCGCGGGUCUAGGCUGCACCAUUGCCGGCAGCCUGGACACUCCACCGAAUGAAGCCGACCGCUACCGCACCUUCGAGAUGCCGAGCUGAGCAUCAUCCACCAGGCGACGCCGACGGGUUGCUUCCGAAUCGCUGCCACCCGUGCGCCGUCGCCGGCCUUGUUGUGCCGAUUCACUGCCCAAGGUCGCCGCUGGAGCUAACCAGCACCGCCAGGAGCUUCACGAGGUCGAGUAGAGCGCAGCCAGUCUGCUCCCUCGCUCGUCCGUCCUCCGGAGCUCGGCCCAACGGCGGGCGGCGAGCUGCUGUUGUAUGUGCGAUUGGGUGAGAUGCAACAACGCUAGUUGGUGAAAUUAGAGUAGCAGCUGGUUGCUUGACGAUUGAAGCUGAGGGAGAGCUACGUGCUUGUGCUGGACGGAUUCAGGGGAGAGGAGUGGCAUCAGGGGAGAGGAGUGGCAUGGGGGACAUGCUUCAGUGGAUUUGAUUUGAAGGGGUUGGUAAAUUUCUUGCUUACUGAGAUGAACAGAUCGAGGAAAGAGUUGGACAUUGGUGCGUUGACGAGAGGAAAUUGGAACUUGGGAUGCCGGCAUGCUUUCGGAUACUUGUACGAGCAGCGUCAUGAUUUCGAGGACGAUGUUGAGCAGCUCUUCGACGACGCCCUCGCCGUGGCUGCUCAUGGUGCGGAAGGGAAAAGAGAGGAGAGAGGAAGAGGUGAGGAGAAAAGAGAAGACAAUGACACCUGGACCCAUUCACAGGGGGUAAAAUAGACUAUUCAUAACAAGUUCCUAUGUUUUUGGAACUGGAACACUGCAAUCAACCAAAACACGUAUAUAAGGUCCAUGAUUUUCUGAAGUUGGUAGAGUGAAGGUGAUUUUUGUGAUGUGGGUGCACCCACUUAACCAUCUUCUAUAGGAGGAGCCCCGGUCUGUCGCAGUCCCCAGCAUCGUCAUCUGAUAAUCAGGUACCUGAAGAAAUUGACUGGAGGGGUUCGACAAUGAGAUGAAAAGGUACCUGACGUCUCUUUGGAGGGAAUUCUCACUGCACUGAAAGUGCACAUCAGAAAUUGAUUCGCCAGAAUGCCAGGUCCGUGUCUCCUCUUGUAGGCUCUCAUGCAGGGACUAUGCUGGUGGGUGAAUCCCAAGAGUUCUGAAGCAUGAUGGAGUCCGAAAGUCCUAGGAUACUGAUUCCGUGUCAGUAUCACAGUUUGUGCAACGGCUGGCUGCCGGCCUGAUGCAAACUGUGUCGCAGACUUCCCCGGUUCCACCCGCCACCGAUCUAGAUCCGAGCUGGCAAGAACAAUCUAUGGUCGCCUGGUUUACGUCUGACGAGCGCCGCCCAGCCCCCUGUUUUUUUUUUUGUGUGUGUGUGGCGGGAACAGCCCCCUGGGUUUGACUUCUGCAUUGACUCAUCGGCUACGCGAGCUGCGAGAGGGCAACGUGCACGAGUUGGCCGCGCGCAGGGUCCAGCUCCGGUGCUGCGUACAUGCAUGCUGGCGGCGGCGGUGCGGCGUUGGAAACCUUCGCUACGGCUUCGCUCUCGCUCUGAAAACUGCUGCGUACUCUUCUCCGGUGGCAGAUGAUCGUUUGUUUAUUUGUCUACGACUGGAACUUGACCCACUUGACCAAUGUAAUCGUUUUCUACCAUAAAGCUUUAUGCUCAGCUCAUACGUGGCGAAACAGAGCACCGGAUUUCGGAUCUCAGUAUUAUUAUUACAGCUGGAUUAUUACAGCUGGCUACUCCCUCCGUUCCAAACUGUAAGUCAUUCCAACUUUUUUGGAGGGUCAAAUCAUCUCAAGUUUGACUAAAUUUAUACAAUAAACUACGAACAUUUAUGAUACUAAAUAAGCACCAUUAGAUUCUUCACUAAAUAUAUUUUCAUAGUAUAUCUAUUCGGUGCUAUAAAUCUUCUUAAUCCUCUCUAUAAUUUUGGUCAAAUAACUCUCCAAGAAAGUUAGAAUGAUCUACAAUGUGGAACGGAGGGAGGAGUACGUAAUCAAGGAGCAAUAGUUAGCAUGGACUUUUCAUUCUUUUUUUUUCUUCUAAUAUGGCAUACAGGGGCGGACCCAAGGCCCGGACACCCUAAGCACAUCCGCACAUGCCCUGGCUCCGACGCUGCAGCUGCAAAGAAACUAAGCUGUUGUUGUCCACAGUUAGCAACCUUUUUUGCUGUUCUGAUGGAUGGGAGACGGGAAGAGAAUUGUCGUCCAGACUCCGUUCGACCGCUGGGUCCGCCACGGACGGCAUAAGAUUAUUUGCUUGUAGGAGUUAAGAGUAUAUAUUUGCUCUGUAAUCACUCGCAAAGUAGAAGGGAGCUAUCAGCGCACGUGUGGAUCGUGACGACGCCAGCUACGUCAGUGAGUCGUUUUCUUGCGGACUGCUAGCUGUGACCCACCCUUCUUCUCUCUUGGAAAAACGAUUGCUUGAGGCAGCAGGCGGCGCUUUGUGCCGGACUAGUGCCGGUCCAGAUCCAGCCAAUGCAAUCCAACCGAAACCGGCGGGAGGCUUUGGGUUGCAUACCGCGACGUUGUUUCGCGAUCGCUGCUGCUGCCGCCGCUUUCCCUGCAGCGGGUUCGUGGCCGGCCGCGUUCCAAACUUCCCAUCGAGUCGCCAAACGCUAGGCCAGGCACAGCGUAGUGGCGCGCGUUCCAUCGGUGAACUCAUCAUGGGCGUCGUUCCUGGCACGGCGCUACCGCUGAUGGGGUCGCGUUUUUGGGUAAGAGAUAGGGUGUGGCGAUUCAGAGAUAAGGCGUAGCUGGAUCGUGAUGAGACGUGCCAGGCGCGCAAGCAAAAAUCCUAGCUACUGUUACAGAUUUCUGAAGAGAUCAGCAGGGCGGUGCGGCGCGACUGUGCGUGCAACCGGCGGCGGCGGCCGAUUUCGAGCGAGUCCAGUCCGCCUUGCGCAGCAAACGAACACCCGAAACCGCGACGUGCGCUCCAAGCCAAAACCGCCACCGCACACGCGCCUUUCCCCGUUUACGCCCGCGAGCCCAACCGAAACCCACCAGGCGGCUAAAACUCGCCCGUCCUUCCUGAUACUGACGCGUGGGGACACAUCUCACGGGGGGCUAGUGCGGUGGGCUCGCCGACGCCUCCCUCGCCGCGGCCGCGCGGCCCAUGGUUUUCCCUUCCCCGAAGAAAAGAUGACACAGGUUUUGCCGGAGCGCCCCCCCCCCCCCCCCCCCCCCCCCCCCCACCCCCACCCCCCCGCGCCCGUGAUCACACAAGAAUCCCGCGGACGCCCCCGCCGCUCCACCUCGGUAUAAAAGGACAGGUGGUGUCUCCUCCGGAAACCCACCCACCGAACCUGACCCGACACACGUCAAAGCCAAAAACCUCAGAUAACCCCCAGGAAACCGUAUUAUAAUCUCGCCCCUCCACUCCCUCUGCUCCGCUGCAAUUCCACUCGCCCCCCCACCCACCUUGAUCCUCCUCUCCCUCCCCAUUGGCGCUUGAUCGAUCGAUCCAUCCAUCCAUGGACACCCACAUCGGAUCCGUGGACGGGCCGGCGUUGGGGGCGGGGAACGGCACGGUGGUGGGCUGCCCGGCGUCGGCUCCCGGGUGCCCGAUGGCGUCCACGCCGGCGCAGCCCGCGGCGACCCUGCCGGCGGGGGAGGCGUCACUGGGGCGCCACCUCGCGCGCCGCCUCGUCCAGGUCGGCGUCAGCGACGUAUUCGCCGUCCCCGGGGACUUCAACCUCACGCUGCUCGACCACCUGAUCGCCGAGCCCGGGCUCCGCCUCGUCGGCUGCUGCAACGAGCUCAACGCCGGGUACGCCGCCGACGGGUACGCCCGCGCGCGCGGCGUGGGGGCGUGCGCCGUCACCUUCACCGUCGGGGGCCUCAGCGUGCUCAACGCCAUCGCGGGCGCCUACAGCGAGAACCUCCCCGUCAUCUGCAUCGCCGGCGGGCCCAACUCCAACGACUACGGGACCAACCGCAUCCUCCACCACACCAUCGGCCUCCCCGACUUCUCGCAGGAGCUCCGCUGCUUCCAGACCGUCACCUGCCACCAGGUGCGUCCGCGCGUGUUCCCCCUCUGCUCCUUGUGAUUUUGGGUGGGUUUAGAGUGUCUGUUUCAUCAUCUGGUCGGUUAAUGGCUUUGUUUGCUUGUUCGUGGAUUCAGGCGGUGGUGACCAAUCUGGACGAUGCGCACGAGCAGAUCGACUCGGCCAUCGCCACGGCGCUGAGGGAGAGCAAGCCGGUGUACCUCAGCAUCAGCUGCAACCUCCCCGGGCUACCUCACCCCACCUUUAGCCGCGACCCCGUGCCCUUCUUCCUCUCCCCCAGGUAACAUUUGUUGUUUAGUCUCUUGAUUCUGAGAUACAUAGACUAAUUUUAUAUGAAGUCAAGUCAUCUGAUGAAAUCUCGGACUAGAUGAACAAUCAUAUGAUGUGAUAAAAAAAGGGCGUACCCAGUGCGAAAGCUUGGUUUAUUUUCUAGUCAUCAGAUGACUUUUGUCUGUGAACUGUAAUAUGGCACUAAAAGUCUGCUACUGUGUGCAACAAGAUACUAUCUGAAAUCCUGUUAUUAACUGUGUCUGUAAUGUUGCAGAAUGAGCAACAAGAUGGGGCUAGAGGCUGCAGUAGAGGCUACCGUUGAAUUCCUGAACAAGGCGGUGAAGCCGGUGCUUGUUGGUGGCCCCAAACUGCGUGUGGCGAAGGCAGGAAAGGCAUUUGUUGAUCUGGUAGAUGCCAGCGGCUAUGCCUAUGCAGUGAUGCCAUCGGCCAAGGGUCUUGUGCCAGAGACUCACCCCCACUUCAUCGGCACCUACUGGGGCGCAGUUAGCACUGCCUUUUGUGCUGAGAUUGUUGAGUCCGCAGAUGCCUACCUCUUUGCUGGACCCAUUUUCAAUGACUACAGCUCUGUUGGCUACUCUUUCCUCCUGAAGAAGGACAAGGCCAUCAUCGUCCAACCUGAACGUGUGAUAGUUGGGAAUGGGCCGGCAUUUGGAUGUGUCAUGAUGAAGGAGUUCUUGUCUGGAUUGGCUAAGAGGGUUAAGAAGAACACCACUGCCUAUGAGAACUAUAAGAGGAUCUUUGUGCCUGAGGGCCAGCCACUGGAAAGUGAGCCGAAUGAGCCACUGCGUGUCAAUGUACUCUUCAAGCACGUUCAGAAGAUGCUGACAGGUGACAGUGCCGUGAUCGCUGAGACUGGUGACUCCUGGUUCAACUGCCAGAAGCUCAAGCUGCCCGAGGGCUGUGGGUGAGCAUUGUGACGGCACACUGUUCUGUUAUGUGUCCUAAUUUUUGUUGUUUUCCUUGUUCUGACGAUGGUUGCUUGCAUGCUGCAGGUAUGAAUUCCAAAUGCAGUAUGGUUCAAUCGGAUGGUCAGUCGGUGCAUUGCUUGGUUACGCUCAGGGGGCGAAUGACAAGCGUGUGAUUGCCUGCAUUGGUGAUGGGAGUUUCCAGGUGAAGUUUCAUUGCCUGAUUACAUAUAUUUUGC
RNAcentral lists this long non-coding RNA (41207 nucleotides) under Setaria viridis. RNAcentral describes it as "long non-coding RNA (SVIR_LNC011335)". The record is from RNAcentral. Lineage: Eukaryota; Viridiplantae; Streptophyta; Magnoliopsida; Poales; Poaceae.